UACGUAGGUGGCGAGCGUUGUCCGGAUUUAUUGGGCGUAAAGCGCGCGCAGGUGGUGCGGUAAGUCUGUCGUGAAAUCUCCCGGCUCAACUGGGAGGGUGCGGUGGAGACUGCCGGACUGGAGGCACUCAGAGGCCGGUGGAAUUCCCGGUGUAGUGGUGAAAUGCGUAGAGAUCGGGAGGAACACCAGUGGCGAAGGCGGCCGGCUGGGGGUGACCUGACGCUGAGGCGCGAAAGCGUGGGGAGCGAACAGG
This 253-nucleotide ribosomal RNA is filed under the name uncultured bacterium. RNAcentral describes it as "partial 16S ribosomal RNA". It matches the Rfam family "Bacterial small subunit ribosomal RNA", at positions 524 to 776 of the family's 1533-position model. The record is from RNAcentral.